CAGUCGCCGCGGGAAUACGUAGGGUGCAAGCGUUAAUCGGAAUUACUGGGCGUAAAGCGUGCGCAGGCGGUUGUGUAAGACAGGUGUGAAAUCCCCGGGCUUAACCUGGGAACUGCGCUUGUGACUGCACAGCUAGAGUAUGGCAGAGGGGGGUGGAAUUCCACGUGUAGCAGUGAAAUGCGUAGAGAUGUGGAGGAACACCGAUGGCGAAAGCACUCUGCUGGGCCGACACUGACACUGAGAGACGAAAGCUAGGGGAGCAAAUGGGAUUAGAUACCCCAGUAGUCCCUGUCUCUUAUAC
RNAcentral lists this ribosomal RNA (301 nucleotides) under uncultured bacterium. RNAcentral's name for it is "partial 16S ribosomal RNA". It matches the Rfam family "Bacterial small subunit ribosomal RNA", at positions 509 to 807 of the family's 1533-position model. The record is from RNAcentral.